GGCAGCUCGCUUCGGCGGGUUGUAGCCGCUCACCUUCCGCAGGCUUCUUUAUCGUUACCAUUCUCUUCUCCCGCACCUCACGAGAUGAGAAAUGCAGUAAUCAUCACUGGUAGAAAUGAAAAGGAAAGAACGGCAGAGAAUUGGUUUAUUCCUUCUCUGAGACAAUGGCUGGGCUAUUUUGGCACUGAAUCUAGACCCGGAUUGUUUCCCAAAAUUAAACAAUAUCUUUGAAGAGGAAAACUUGGGAUUCCGCUGUCUUUCAACCUUCAUUUAUUGUACUCCACUUGACCUUUAGCUUCAGCUUCAAAAGCCAGCAGACCAGAAGAUUCUGUUCUGCAUGCUGACCUCAUGAGCCAAGCUUGUAUAUCCAGAAUAUAUCGGAUACUUGCCCUGCUGAGAUCGCUCUGAAUGAGUCUAAUAAGAGAAGUUACUCUGUCUAUUUAGAUUUUUUUUUUUUUUUUCUCAGUUAUCCAGUACAGAACUGAAGACGAUUUUCUGAGAUUUUCUUGUACAAAAUCAAAAAGAUAUUGUUUGUUAUACAUUAUUAUUGCUUAACAUUAAAAAACUAAUUGUGUUCUCUCUGUUUUUCUUGUUUGCUUUUCUACUGUUUGUGGAUGGAUGAAAUUCUGUUUAGAGUCUGAUUUUAUGAGAAUUUGUACUUUUUAAUGCAAAGGCUAAGUACGGUCUAAUGCUUCUAUGUGACUACGGAGCUUUGGUGGCACACAGUAAAUAGUAUUUUCUUAUCAUUUCUGAUCUAUUAUGAGGUGGAAAAUUGCAGGGUUUUAGUUAUUUGGUAAUGCAUUAGCUGUUUCCACAAUUCCAUCAGGAAUGGGUAAAAUGAGUGUAUAAAAACUGUCACAUAGUCAUUUUGGAUAACGAAGCAAAACAGAAAUAUUGCAUGAAAAUAAGGCAGCCAUACUGGAGAAUAUGAGCAAAUUAGAGUGAACUGAACACAGGACUCUCAUCCUUAAUCACUUGCUGGAGUUAGUAAAGUGACAGUUAUUUGCAACAGGAUGCAAAACUACAUAAUCAACAACGUUGGACACAUUUCAGUGAAAAUCAAAGCAAAAGCCACUUUCUGAAAACAUUGUGCAAGUCAAUAAAGUCAUAUUCAUGUAGUUUAGAAAAUGUGCUUGGGUUUGUCAUGGGUUUAAAAUAAAGCAAAGUUAAGCCUUA
Coturnix japonica (Japanese quail) is the source of this 1176-nucleotide long non-coding RNA. RefSeq lists it as uncharacterized. Lineage: Eukaryota; Metazoa; Chordata; Aves; Galliformes; Phasianidae. The record is from RefSeq and is a predicted model, not a curated record.